Molecule: small nucleolar RNA, 99 nt
Organism: Elaeis guineensis (African oil palm)
Lineage: Eukaryota; Viridiplantae; Streptophyta; Magnoliopsida; Arecales; Arecaceae
Product: small nucleolar RNA Z103
Source: RefSeq, a predicted model, not a curated record
UGGGAGAUGAUGACCCUUUCCCCAUGAGAUCAACUAUGAUUGUACUAUCCUUUUUCUUAUCUUAUUUGAGGAGAAAUCAAACUCGGAAUUAUGAUUCUA